AGGCCUGUAGCUCUAAGGUAGAGCAGCGGACUCCAAAUCCGUGGGUUGGGGGUUCAAGUCCCUCCAGGCCUG
This 72-nucleotide transfer RNA is filed under the name Pseudomonadota bacterium. RNAcentral's name for it is "tRNA-Trp". It matches the Rfam family "tRNA". Rfam says of the family: Transfer RNA (tRNA) molecules are approximately 80 nucleotides in length. RNAcentral also lists the same sequence under 1 other name. Lineage: Bacteria; Pseudomonadati; Pseudomonadota. The record is from RNAcentral.